RNAcentral lists this ribosomal RNA (491 nucleotides) under uncultured bacterium. RNAcentral describes it as "partial 16S ribosomal RNA". It matches the Rfam family "Bacterial small subunit ribosomal RNA", at positions 28 to 507 of the family's 1533-position model. The record is from RNAcentral.
GAUGAACGCUAGCUACAGGCUUAACACAUGCAAGUCGAGGGGAAACGAUGAGAGAGCUUGCUCUCUUAGUCGUCGACCGGCGCACGGGUGAGUAACGCGUAUCCAACCUGCCUCUGACCAAGGGAUAACCCGUCGAAAGUCGGACUAAUACCUUAUGCAGUCGUCGGAAGUCAUCUGAUGACGACGAAAGAUUUCAUCGGUGAGAGAUGGGGAUGCGUCUGAUUAGCUUGUUGGCGGGGUAACGGCCCACCAAGGCCACGAUCAGUAGGGGUUCUGAGAGGAAGGUCCCCCACAUUGGAACUGAGACACGGUCCAAACUCCUACGGGAGGCAGCAGUGAGGAAUAUUGGUCAAUGGGCGUAAGCCUGAACCAGCCAAGUAGCGUGCAGGAUGACGGCCCUAUGGGUUGUAAACUGCUUUUAUGCGGGGAUAAAGUGAGGGACGUGUCCUUCAUUGCAGGUACCGCAUGAAUAAGGACCGGCUAAUUCCGUG